This 493-nucleotide ribosomal RNA is filed under the name uncultured bacterium. RNAcentral's name for it is "partial 16S ribosomal RNA". It matches the Rfam family "Bacterial small subunit ribosomal RNA", at positions 29 to 523 of the family's 1533-position model. The record is from RNAcentral.
AUUGAACGCUGGCGGCAUGCUUUACACAUGCAAGUCGAACGGUAACAGGUUAAGCCGACGAGUGGCGAACGGGUGAGUAAUGCAUCGGAACGUGCCCGAUCGUGGGGGAUAACGCAGCGAAAGCUGCGCUAAUACCGCAUACGAUCUGAGGAUGAAAGCGGGGGACCGUAAGGACUCGCGCGAUCGGAGCGGCCGAUGUCAGAUUAGGUAGUUGGUGGGGUAAAGGCUCACCAAGCCAACGAUCUGUAGCUGGUCUGAGAGGACGACCAGCCACACUGGGACUGAGACACGGCCCAGACUCCUACGGGAGGCAGCAGUGGGGAAUUUUGGACAAUGGGCGAAAGCCUGAUCCAGCAAUGCCGCGUGCAGGAAGAAGGCCUUCGGGUUGUAAACUGCUUUUGUACGGAGCGAAAAGGCUCUCUCUAAUACAGGGGGCUCAUGACGGUACCGUAAGAAUAAGCACCGGCUAACUACGUGCCAGCCGCCGCAGUAA